This 312-nucleotide ribosomal RNA is filed under the name Triticum aestivum (bread wheat). RNAcentral describes it as "partial small subunit ribosomal RNA". Lineage: Eukaryota; Viridiplantae; Streptophyta; Magnoliopsida; Poales; Poaceae. The record is from RNAcentral.
AUGUUGUCUUUAUGCAUUGAGUACUCGGUUAUAUUUUGGCGUAAGUUUCCUUUUCUUGUUUUGUUGGAAAUAUGUCAAAUAGUUGUAUGGGUGAACUGGAACCUUAUGCAAUUUGUUUCAAGGGUGGACUGUUGCCCUUUUACCAAUAUGUAUAUCUUCCUACUCCCCACUUGCCAAAUUAAAGCGCAUAUUCGCAAUAACUCGUAUCAGUACCAAAUUACCAAGGGUUGUUUAUGCUUGAUGCAUUGGCUCAUGGAGCCUCUGGGUAAUAAAUGCUCCUGCAUGCAUUGGCUUACAGUGCCUCGAUCUUAG